GGCUGGUCCGAGUGCAGGGAGGUGUACAACUAAUUGAUCAUAACCAAUUACAGAUUUCUUUGUUCUUUCUCCACUCCCACUAUUCUACUUGACUAGCCUUAA
This is an unclassified non-coding RNA of Cercocebus atys (sooty mangabey), 102 nucleotides long. It matches the Rfam family "Y RNA". From Rfam's summary of the family: Y RNAs are components of the Ro ribonucleoprotein particle (Ro RNP), in association with Ro60 and La proteins. The Y RNAs and Ro60 and La proteins are well conserved, but the function of the Ro RNP is not known. The record is from Ensembl. NCBI's taxonomy places the organism in Eukaryota, Metazoa, Chordata, Mammalia, Primates, Cercopithecidae.